UACGUAGGGUGCGAGCGUUAAUCGGAAUUACUGGGCGUAAAGCGUACGCAGGCGGCUGGGUAAGACAGGUGUGAAAUCCCCGGGCUUAACCUGGGAACUGCAUUUGUGACUGCCCGGCUAGAGUCCGUUAGAGGGAGGUGGAAUUCCACGUGUAGCGGUGAAAUGCGUAGAGAUGUGGAGGAACACCGAUGGCGAAGGCAGCCUCCUGGGCCAAUACUGACGCUCAUGCACGAAAGCGUGGGGAGCAAACAGG
RNAcentral lists this ribosomal RNA (253 nucleotides) under uncultured bacterium. RNAcentral's name for it is "partial 16S ribosomal RNA". It matches the Rfam family "Bacterial small subunit ribosomal RNA", at positions 524 to 776 of the family's 1533-position model. The record is from RNAcentral.